Molecule: long non-coding RNA, 138 nt
Organism: Triticum dicoccoides
Lineage: Eukaryota; Viridiplantae; Streptophyta; Magnoliopsida; Poales; Poaceae
Exons: 3
Source: RefSeq, a predicted model, not a curated record
AGUAGUCAUCGUCGAUGGUGGCGUCUGGUUCCUGGACUCCAACGUCUGGAAGCUCUGUUGUACAGGGAGAAGGGUCGUCGGUGACGUAGUCGUACUCGGUGGCAUCAGCGCCGGUCUCGGGGUCUACCGGAGAAGAAG